Molecule: ribosomal RNA, 433 nt
Filed under: uncultured bacterium
Lineage: Bacteria
Description: partial 16S ribosomal RNA
Rfam family: Bacterial small subunit ribosomal RNA
Source: RNAcentral
AACGAACGCUGGCGGCAUGCCUAACACAUGCAAGUCGAACGAGACCUUCGGGUCUAGUGGCGCACGGGUGCGUAACGCGUGGGAACCUGCCCUUAGGUUCGGAAUAACUCCCCGAAAGGGGUGCUAAUACCGGAUAAUGUCUUCGGACCAAAGAUUUAUCGCCUUUGGAUGGGCCCGCGUUGGAUUAGCUAGUUGGUAGGGUAAAAGCCUACCAAGGCGACGAUCCAUAGCUGGUCUGAGAGGAUGAUCAGCCACACUGGGACUGAGACACGGCCCAGACUCCUACGGGUGGCAGCAGUGGGGAAUAUUGGACAAUGGGCGAAAGCCUGAUCCAGCAAUGCCGCGUGAGUGAUGAAGGCCUUAGGGUUGUAAAGCUCUUUUACCCGGGAUGAUAAUGACAGUACCGGGAGAAUAAGCGCCGGCUAACUCCGUG